AAAAUAUCUUUAAAAUUGUAUAAUUGAGAAGUGUCAGUAAAUUGAAUUUGUGUCUUGUUGACUCAACGGACUAAAAUAAUUGAUAUAAAUAAGUCUGUGACUGUGUCUUCUGACCAACUAAACCAUCGUGGAAUAAAUGUGUCAGUAAAUUGAAUUUGUGUCUUGUUGACUCAACGAACUAAAAUAAUUGUAAGAACUAAUGAGCUUGUCAAAAUAUCCUUAAAAGAAUAUAAAUGAGAGGUGUCAUCAAAUUGAUUGGAUCUUCUUGAUUCUAAGAUCUAAUAGGUUAAAUCUGAAAUUAUCUGAUGUUUUCCACUUAUCAUUAAUAAGAUUUAUGCAAGCAGAAGCAGUGAAGGUCAUUGGGUAAACACCCAAUGGAUAUUAAAACGAAAUUUGGAUGUAUACCUGGCAUAUCUUGACACGGUGAAGGACAUGAUGUAUUGGGGUAUAUUGGGCAAAUAUUUACAGUGAAUAUGAAAGAUGAUAAGAAAAUGUCAAAGCAAAUUUAACACUAAAUUAUACUCUAAAAACUAUAA
Molecule: long non-coding RNA, 536 nt
Organism: Aethina tumida (small hive beetle)
Lineage: Eukaryota; Metazoa; Arthropoda; Insecta; Coleoptera; Nitidulidae
Exons: 3
Source: RefSeq, a predicted model, not a curated record